This 891-nucleotide long non-coding RNA is filed under the name Marmota monax (woodchuck). Lineage: Eukaryota; Metazoa; Chordata; Mammalia; Rodentia; Sciuridae. The record is from RNAcentral.
CUGUGUCCUAGGUGGGAAGGUAUAUUAUGCAAUGGUUUUUAAAAAAACUUCCUAGGGACUAGGGGUAGAGCUUAGUGGUAGAACACUUGAUUAGUAUGUGUGAGGCUCUGGGUUUGAUCCCCAAAGUUUUAAGUACUCAGUGCUUGCUGAGCACCUAAUACAUGCUGGGUCCCAAACCAGGAGCUCCCACAUAUAUGAUUUUCUUUUUUUGAUUCCUACAACGGGCUUCUGAGAGGGGACUGUGCUCCCAUUUGCCAGAUGAAGAAACUGAGGCUCCAAAGGGCUUCAUGUUGUUUGAAGUGUUACCACUAGAGAGCAGCGGAAUCAGUCCAGUCUCCUCUCUGCUUUCAUCACAGGCCCCUACGUUGGGCUGGGCAGUGGCAUGGGCUGCAAUUCUUGCUCUGCCCCUCACUAGCUGUGUGGCUUGAACAAACUACCUGACCUCUCUGAGUUUCAGUUUCUUUACCUGUGACCGGUUGACUUACCUUUGUCAGUUGUCAUGAAAUGCAAAACAGUAUCAUAUGAAGGUGCCUAAAAACACUGCCUGGCAUGGUACAGGUCUGUGUCCAUUGCUUUCCUCCUUAUCAACAAGAUGCUUUGGUUUCGUGAAGUUGACAGAUUAAUCGGUCUUACUGGGUUGGGAUCCUCAGGGCCCAGUGGAGAGCAGGGCAUGGAGCAGACACUCAAUAAAUAUUUGUUCAAUGAACAGAUAUGCAGUGCUUGUAUCUACAGAUGCCAACCAUCUGGAUACUUCAGAGUGAUGGAUUAUUGACUUUUCAUCUGAAUGCUGUAUGUCAUCCUGGAAUAUAUACAGCCAGAGUCAUCUGAAAUGACAGGAACACAGUCACAUCUCACUGAUGCAGAUUCAUUGGGGGGAAACAUGUAAAUCAG